UACGAAGGGGGCGAGCGUUGUUCGGAUUUACUGGGCGUAAAGCGCGCGUAGGCGGACCUGCAAGUCGGGGGUGAAAGCCCGAGGCUCAACCUCGGAACUGCCUUCGAUACUGCGGGUCUCGAGUCCGGGAGAGGUGAGUGGAAUUCCUAGUGUAGAGGUGAAAUUCGUAGAUAUUAGGAAGAACACCAGUGGCGAAGGCGGCUCACUGGCCCGGUACUGACGCUGAGGCGCGAAAGCGUGGGGAGCAAACAGG
RNAcentral lists this ribosomal RNA (253 nucleotides) under uncultured bacterium. RNAcentral describes it as "partial 16S ribosomal RNA". It matches the Rfam family "Bacterial small subunit ribosomal RNA", at positions 524 to 776 of the family's 1533-position model. The record is from RNAcentral.